GCAGUGAUGGUUCAGGGGUAGAAUUCUUGCUUUCUAUGCAAGAGACUCGAGUUCAAUUUCUGACCAAUGCA
RNAcentral lists this transfer RNA (71 nucleotides) under Loxodonta africana (African savanna elephant). It matches the Rfam family "tRNA". Rfam says of the family: Transfer RNA (tRNA) molecules are approximately 80 nucleotides in length. Their secondary structure includes four short double-helical elements and three loops (D, anti-codon, and T loops). Lineage: Eukaryota; Metazoa; Chordata; Mammalia; Proboscidea; Elephantidae. The record is from Rfam by way of RNAcentral.